UUUAAAGCAUGAAUUUCUUUUUCUUUCACCUGAAGUCUGCACAGUAUUCCACAGAGCAGCUGUCCACAGCAAGAAACUCAUCAUUCACUCUCUGAUCAGCACAUACACAUUACCCUCCUGCUAUUAUUUAGCUGAACAGUUUCAGUGUCUUGGGUGCCUUGUGGAAGUUGGGAAGGAAAAUCAAAGGUCACAAGGAAGAUGGAAAAAGGGAAGGGUGAGAAGACAUCUGAGAUGGAAACAGAGACAAAUGACUCUUCCCUUGAGGUAACAUCAGAUACAGGAGAAGCUCCCCUGUGCUGCACUGGAGUCCAACAGAAGGAGAGACUAGCUCGAGGCUACAGCCGAACUCCUUAUGAACGGAAAAAGGAAGGCUGCUCCCGUAAUGGGCUGUGAAAUACUGACCUUCCAGAAUAGCCAUUUUAAGGAGCUUUUGGGUUUUGUUCAGCUGCGGCGAGGAAAGUGUAAUUGUGCUGCCCAGUUCUGUUUGAACAAGUGAGUUGUGCACUUCACUGGAGGAAUGCAUGGAGUGUGUUGAAAGCACAGAUACGGAAGUGUGGCCAGGAAUGUGAUGGAGUGGAUAUAAAAUGAGUGAAGACAAGUGUCCUCAUGCUGGCUGCGGUGGUGACGUGCAUUAUCUCGGCGUUAUCAGGAGAUAGAUGUUUGCAUUCCCAUGGGUCAGUGCAAGUUGUCACAGUUUCAACUUCCAGCUUUUUCUUAUGGAAAUAACAUCACGAGGCAAAGAGCAUGAAAAGUCCUCUGCUUGCUUGCACCUCCACAUGUGAUCUUACA
RNAcentral lists this long non-coding RNA (789 nucleotides) under Serinus canaria (Common canary). RNAcentral's name for it is "lncRNA (ENSSCAG00000004884.1)". The record is from RNAcentral. Lineage: Eukaryota; Metazoa; Chordata; Aves; Passeriformes; Fringillidae.